Molecule: long non-coding RNA, 225 nt
Filed under: Elaeis guineensis (African oil palm)
Lineage: Eukaryota; Viridiplantae; Streptophyta; Magnoliopsida; Arecales; Arecaceae
Description: long non-coding RNA (EGUI_LNC076135)
Source: RNAcentral
GUGCCUCCUCCUUCUUGAUUUGGACUCUUCCAAAGAUGAAAAGUAGAAAGAGGAGUUUCAGAUCUGAGACACUCUCAGGAAACUCAAGAUGGAGGGAGGAAAGAUAUGAAAACAAAAACCCUAGAAGAAGACCCUCUUCUUCUUCACGUUUUUCUCUCUAGACACCCAAACUUGCAUCUUUUAUAUCUCUACGACCCAAAGGUAUUUCUCUCUGAUUUUUGGAUG